RNAcentral lists this long non-coding RNA (488 nucleotides) under Gallus gallus (chicken). RNAcentral describes it as "lncRNA (ENSGALG00010010169.1)". The record is from RNAcentral. Lineage: Eukaryota; Metazoa; Chordata; Aves; Galliformes; Phasianidae.
CCAACAUUCAACUUUCCAGAGUGUGACAAUCUGUGCUUUAUGCAGAGGAUCGUAUCCAUACAAAAACAGAAAACGACAGUGGAAGACACUCUGGAGGAGCAUAGAAUCAUAGAAUGAAUUAAGACAACAGACUAGAUGGGGAGCAAUAUGUCACCUUCUCUGGACACUGAUUUCUUCAGAAGGCAUUUUCCUGCAACAUGAAUAUUGGGUUCAAGUCUCCAUUUUUAAUGUGACAGAGUUCGGGCAUGAUGGUAAUAUUUCUGCCAAAAUCGACUACAGUAAUCUUAAUUCCCUAUAGGCAGCCUAAUGCCUGAAGACUGACGGCAAGGAAAUCUAUACUGGAAAUGAAUUUCCAUUGACAAAACUUAAUAGUUUGUCAUUGACAAGGCCUUCAGUCACUUUGAAGAAUUGGGAAAAUAGGGCCAUCAGUAGUUUUCGGUAUGUUGUCCUACCCUUGCUGCAUUCAGAGAGAUGAGUCCUCAUUCAAG